CCUACGGGAGGCUGCAGUGGGGAAUAUUGCACAAUGGGGGAAACCCUGAUGCAGCGACGCCGCGUGAGUGAAGAAGUAUUUCGGUAUGUAAAGCCCUAUCAGCAGGGAAGAAAAUGACAGUACCUGACCAAGAAGCCCCGGCUAACUACGUGCCAGCAGCCGCGGUAAUACGUAGGGGGCAAGCGUUAUCCGGAUUUACUGGGUGUAAAGGGAGCGUAGACGGUUAUGUAAGUCUGGAGUGAAAGCCAGGGGCCCAACCCCGGGACUGCUUUGGAAACUGUGUAACUGGAGUGCAGGAGGGGCAAGCGGAAUUCCUGGUGUAGCGGUGAAAUGCGUAGAUAUCAGGAGGAACACCGGCGGCGAAGGCGGCCUGCUGGACUGUAACUGACGUUGAGGCUCGAAAGCGUGGGGAGCAAACAGGAUUAGAUACCCGAGUAGUC
Molecule: ribosomal RNA, 440 nt
Filed under: uncultured bacterium
Lineage: Bacteria
Description: partial 16S ribosomal RNA
Rfam family: Bacterial small subunit ribosomal RNA
Source: RNAcentral